This 512-nucleotide small RNA is filed under the name Pongo abelii (Sumatran orangutan). RNAcentral's name for it is "processed transcript". The record is from RNAcentral. Lineage: Eukaryota; Metazoa; Chordata; Mammalia; Primates; Hominidae.
GUAAGAAGUGCCUUUCGCCUCCUGCCAUGGUUCGGAGGCCCUCUCAGCCAUAUGGAACUCUAAGAAGAAAUUUCCCGACUUGUUUGUCUUCUUGGAAGAUUCCUCCUCAUGUCUCAAAAUCUUCCCAGUCAGAAGCUCUACUCAAUAUAACAAAUAAUGGAAUACACUUUGCUCCCCUGCAAACAUUUACAGAUGAGGAAAUGAUGAUAAAGAGUUCAGUUAAAAAAUUUGCUCAGGAACAAAUUGCACCUUUGGUUUCAACCAUGGAUGAAAAUUCGAAAAUGGAGAAAUCAGUAAUACAAGGAUUAUUUCAACAAGGGUUGAUGGGUAUUGAAGUUGACCCAGAAUAUGGAGGCACAGGAGCUUCAUUUUUAUCCACUGUGCUCGUGAUAGAGGAAUUAGCCAAAGUUGAUGCAUCCGUGGCUGUCUUUUGUGAGAUCCAGAACACACUAAUUAACACACUGAUUAGAAAACAUGGAACAGAAGAACAAAAGGCCACCUAUUUGCCUCAG